This 36-nucleotide ribosomal RNA is filed under the name Gymnopilus lepidotus. RNAcentral's name for it is "partial 18S ribosomal RNA". The record is from RNAcentral. Lineage: Eukaryota; Fungi; Basidiomycota; Agaricomycetes; Agaricales; Galerinaceae.
ACCCUUUCCGUAGGUGAACCUGCGGAAGGAUCAUUA